Molecule: long non-coding RNA, 624 nt
Filed under: Brassica napus (rape)
Lineage: Eukaryota; Viridiplantae; Streptophyta; Magnoliopsida; Brassicales; Brassicaceae
Description: long non-coding RNA (BNAP_LNC018474)
Source: RNAcentral
CCUUCAGUAAAUGUCCUCUGUGAUAAAUAGAACAGUAACUUUAUGGAUGACCUCUUUUAUCCUCUGUGAUAAUAUAAUACUAUAAGAAAUUAUAUUUAAUCUAUGACUAAACUUUUUUUUUACGACAAAAAGACAUUUUAUUACUCAUACUUGAGGUGGUAUGAAUAAUCAAACCAGAAUAGGAUAGCCAACAAAAAAAAAUGUUCCUAUGAACGUGUCUCGCUGUCCUACCUAAGUGAUCUACAAUUCUGUUAUGUCCACUUGGGAUAUAGAUGAUCUUGAAUUCUUUAAUCCUGCUCUUGAAGUGUUGAAUUACUCCGCUGAGAAGCUCAGCAGCCAUGACUCAAGAUCCUUUAUCAUUGUUAUUACCUCUUUGCAAUCUGUACAAAGCAUUGACACGUCGAAUGAUGCAUCAUGUUCUCCAUAGUCCAUCGAAGCGCUUCUAACUCCGUAUGCAAUGGAUAUUCUAUUUGUCUUAUAUUUCUUCAUCUUAUUUUUUGGUAAAAUCAACCAACCAUUUACAGACAGAUCGGAGUCUGUUAAUACUUUUUCUAUCAUCAUGUUGGGAUCCAUUUUACUAAACUUGUAAAGCUUUACUGUUAUAACUAAGAGUCCUUUCAGAAA